Molecule: long non-coding RNA, 2684 nt
Filed under: Mus musculus (house mouse)
Lineage: Eukaryota; Metazoa; Chordata; Mammalia; Rodentia; Muridae
Description: long non-coding RNA chr1:129710545-129713229
Source: RNAcentral
AGUCUGAUGCCUUCAUAUCAGAUCUGUGUAGGUAGCAGAUAGUGCUGCACAGAGCAAAGCAAUCAUGUUAAUAUUUUUAUUUGCAUUAUAAUACAUUUCUUAUAAAUAUUUUAUUUGCUUUAUAAAUUAUUGUGCACAGAGCUUUUACUUUUGUGAUGUUGAUUCUUCCUCUCAGAAAACAAGGUAUCUUCACAAAAGCUCAAGUCAACCUUUGGAUCUCUCCAAGAUUAUUUCAAUAUUUUCCUGAUACCAGCUUUGCACAUUUAUUAAACACAAUUCUAAGUAUUUUAUUCUUUUGUUGGUGUUGCAAGUGAUGUUUUUUGCCUCUUUCUAGCACUAAUUAAUAAGCAGUAUUGGCUUCUUAUGUUAAUACUCCAGCUUGCCUCUCAGGUGUGUUGGAUUACAAUGAGUCCAUUCUUCCACCGACUCUGUUGAAUAAUCAUAUCAUCUGCAUGAAAGUUUCAUUUUUAUUCAAUGAAGGAGUUUCUCUCAUCCAAAUGCAUUGGGAAUAUGUGGCUGAUGCUGGACUUCAACAACAAGAGAAACACUGGAAAGCCUACACACUUAUGGAAACUGAACAACUCUCUACUCAGUGAUCUCUGGGUCAGGCAAGAAAUAAAGAAAGAAAUUAAAGACUUUCUAGAAUUCAAUGAAAAUUAAAGCAUAAAUACCCAAAUUUAUGGGACACAAUGAAAGCAGUGCUAAGAGAAAAGUUUCCAGCACUAAGUGCCUCUAUAAAGAAAUUAGAAAGUGCUCAUAUGAGCAAUUUAAAAGUACACCAGAAUGUUCUAGGGAAAAAAGAAGAAGAAGAAGCAAGGACAGCAUAGAGGAAAAGAAAGCAGAAAAUAAUAAAAAUCAGAACUGAAAUCAAUCAGUUAGAAAUAAUGAGACCAAUUCAAGGAAUCAUUGAAACCAAGAGUUGGUUCUUUGAGAAAAAUCAACUAGAUAGACAAGCUGACCAAGAGACACAGAGAGAGUAUCCAAAUAAACAAAAUCAGUAAUGAAAAGAGAGACAUAACAACUGACACUAAGGAAGUUCAAAUAAUCAUUAAGGCUUACUUCAAAAUCCUAUACUCCAUAAAAUUGGAAAAUAUUAACAAAAUAGAAGAUUUUCUAGACAGAUACCACUUAUUAAUGUUAAAUCAAGAUCAGGUAAACUAUUUUUUUCCUUUUUUAUUGGUUAUUUUAUUUAUUUAUAUUUCAAAUGUUAUCCCCUGUCCCAGUUUCCACUUCACAAACACUCUCCCCCCUCCUCCUGACCUUAUGAGGGUACUCCCCAACCAGCUCACCCAUUCUUGCCUUCAGGCCCUAGCAUUCCCCUAUGCUGAGUCAUUAGACCUCCACAAGAACAAGGGGGCUCCUUUCCCAUUGAUGCCAGAUAAGGCAAUCCUCUGCUACAUAUCCAGCUGGAGCUGUGAGUGCCCCUAUGUGUACUUUUUGGUUGGUAGUUUAGUUCCUGGUCACUUUGGGGGGUCUGGUUGGUUGAUAGUGUUGUUCUUCCUACAGGGUUACAAACCCCUUCAGCUCCUUCAGUCCUUGCUCUAAUCUCUCCAUUGGGGCCUCACUAAUAUCUUACAACAGUUCUUGCUUAGCUGUGCUCUAUUUCUCAUAGUCUCAGCUGUACUUAGUCAAGUACAGUCUGAAAAUAUUAAAUGGAAAAUCCAGAACUAGUAGAUUUGUACAUUUUCAGUUGCACCAUGUGCUGAGUGAUAUAAAGAAAUCUCCCAACAGCCACAGCUAUAACUGACAUCAUGUCACCCCUCCAUGGUCAGUGUAUCCAUUCUGUGUGCCCUACCUAUCCACUUAACUGUUUUGGUUAUCAGAUAUACCGUGGUGGUUUCAUAGAACCUGUGUUCUAGCAGCUCUUAUUUUAUUUACUGAUACCCCAAAAUGCUGUGUUGCCAAUUACAAUUUUCCAGAGAAUUCCAGUAAAUUCUCAUGAUAGAAAGCAAGGCCUACCUCCCCAGUGUUGUCCUCUAGCCCUUUAAUACAGACCAUGGCAUGCCAGCACCACACACAUAGAUACACACACACACACACACACACACACACACACACACACCACACACUUAAAUACACAGAGACAUGCAAGCACAGACAUUCAAAUAAUAAAUAAAAUUUAAAAUAAAUUUAAAUUCAGAGAUGAAGUUAAAAUUAACAUAAAAUUUAGGAAAAGCAGAAAUCAUAACUCAUAUGAGCUACAUAUAAAUCACCUUUAAAGGUGUAAGAUGUCAUCUUUACUUACACUGAAGCAAAUGCAAAACUCCAUGGAUAGACUUCCUAAGAAAUGUAGCCACAGAUUCAGCAAUGUACCAGGUGCAAAGGAAUCACUGAACAUGUUGCCAGUAGAGUUUGGCAGUAUCCCCAGACUUGUGCAUUUUGAUGUGGCAUUCCCUCUCAUAGCUACUUACCCAGAAAGCACACCUUCAACAGCACAAAUUUAAAAAAAGCUACGCGCUAAGUCGUGGUGCCAUUGUUUGUGAUGGCAAAAUAAUGCUAGCCAAAUGUUUGUACAUCAGAAAAUGCAUGAUAUGAGAUGGGUUCAAUAACAUGAUACAGGAGCACAGUGAUGUGCCUUCAAGGAGAAGAGGAUGAAGAAAAUACCAUGGGGCUGAGAGAGAUUGUUUUUUAGGGAAAAACAGAAGGCUUAGCAUGGUAACGUAAUGUGCCCAAUUUAGGCAAGC